AUUGAACGCUGGCGGCAUGCUUUACACAUGCAAGUCGAACGGCAGCGCGGGCUUCGGCCUGGCGGCGAGUGGCGAACGGGUGAGUAAUGCAUCGGAACGUGCCCAGUAGUGGGGGAUAGCCCGGCGAAAGCCGGAUUAAUACCGCAUACGACCUGAGGGUGAAAGCGGGGGACCGAAAGGCCUCGCGCUAUUGGAGCGUCCGAUGUGGGAUUAGCUAGUUGGUGGGGUAAAGGCUUACCAAGGCGACGAUCCGUAGCUGGUCUGAGAGGACGACCAGCCACACUGGGACUGAGACACGGCCCAGACUCCUACGGGAGGCAGCAGUGGGGAAUUUUGGACAAUGGGGGCAACCCUGAUCCAGCCAUGCCGCGUGCGGGAAGAAGGCCUUCGGGUUGUAAACCGCUUUUGUUCGGGAAGAAAUCCUCUGGGCUAAUACCCCGGGGGGAUGACGGUACCGGAAGAAUAAGCACCGGCUAACUACGUG
Molecule: ribosomal RNA, 484 nt
Filed under: uncultured bacterium
Lineage: Bacteria
Description: partial 16S ribosomal RNA
Rfam family: Bacterial small subunit ribosomal RNA
Source: RNAcentral